Arvicanthis niloticus (Nile rat) is the source of this 104-nucleotide small nuclear RNA. Lineage: Eukaryota; Metazoa; Chordata; Mammalia; Rodentia; Muridae. The record is from RefSeq and is a predicted model, not a curated record.
GCAUGCUCACUCUGGCCACACAUAUACUAAAAUUGGAACAAUGAAGAGAUUAGCAUGGCCCCUGUGCAAGGAUAGCACAAAUUCACAAAGCAUUUUAUAUUUGA